This is a non-coding RNA of Acanthosepion pharaonis, 99 nucleotides long. NCBI's taxonomy places the organism in Eukaryota, Metazoa, Mollusca, Cephalopoda, Sepiida, Sepiidae. The record is from the annotation of a GenBank genome assembly.
CGUUGAAACACCGGUUCCUGUAAGAUCACUGAAGGUAAGCAACGUUAAGCCCGGUCAGUACCAAGAUGGGUUGUCUCUUGGAAGACCAGGUGCUGUAAG